AGAAAUUGUAUGGAGGAGAGUUCACGAGUUCGAGUUAGUCCGACGGUUGAAGGGGUCGCAUAGACGCGGUCUUCAAGUAUGCGUUCGACGGGUUGGGAUGACGCAGCUUGACUGGCAGAUGGAAGUCAACCAUUUCUUAGCGUUGACUCAAAUGCUAAAUAUGGGCAUCGUCGACGAUAAGAAGCAGAGGCCGCGGCGGCCGGCGUGUCAAUGACGUCGCCGUAUUCAAUACCAUUGGAAUUGAAUCUUGGCCGUAUUCAACUGUUCGCCUCAUCGACGCCGAGGAGCUCCGGUCGCCGGCGCGGAGGCUAGCGAUCACUUCAUAUGGCAUCUCCCUUCCCUCCGCCAUACUCACUCGGAAACUCCCAAACCUGCCUUCUUUAAUUCACCAGGCAACGAAAUCUAUGAAGGCGCAAUCAGUCAGAUCCCUCAUCUUCUAUCACUUUGAGAAAGUUUUUGGAUAAUUGCAAAUGCUUCGAUAUAUAGUUAAAGCUUUGAAACUCUCACGCAUUUUAUCAUCACCUAAGAAGAAGCAAAAAACAUCCUUUUGUUUUCCAUACAUUUUACUCUUUAUAUUCUUGUAUUUAGAAUCAACACACUAACUAUAGUCUUCAGAAUUGUUCUUUUCUCAUGUUUUUAACAGGCAGGAUUAUAAACUCCUGAUAGCAAUUGCAUUAUGAUGCAUGCUUAAAUUUGGUUAUGACAGACUGUUGAAUACUGCAAUGACUGAGAGAACAUCUGCUACAGGAGUUUCUGCUUUAUGAAUUACAGAGUUUUGCUCCACAUUUUCAUGAAUCUGUUCGUGAACUCUUCAUCUGAGAUUACGUUGACGUAGUUCUUCAGGAUUGCAAGUGCUCUGCAAAUCUAGCACAGCUGCUUACGUUGAUGUAGUUCUUCAGGAUUGCAAGUGGUCUGCAAAUCUAGCAUAGCUGCUGAACACUGUUGUUUCUGUUUAAUUAAAUCGCAUGCUUAGCCUUCUCAGGAAAAUAUAGUGGGUUUAGACAAGAUGCAUGGGGCUUCAAGUUGCUGCUGCAAUCAAAGAGAGAUGAAUUAUUUCUAUAUGUAACGUGUCUGUAGGAAAGUUUUACUCAGUGGAUGCCUGACAGCAAGGAUGGGCAUGAAAUGACCCUCCAAAAUGAUUGGAUUCCAUUGCAGUCCUUUUCCUGUCAAUUUUUUCUGCCAAAAGAAUCCAGUAAGUGCCGUCCAUGCAUACCGAAAACGACUCUCCAACCAACACCUAGCUAGCUGCUCGGCUUCUUUGGUGGGUAACAGUCCAAUCCCAAUCCCAAUCCCUCUAAGCAAAUAUGAUCACUGCAUUCUGCAGAUGACAGUGAAACGCCCUUCUUUGCCUUUGUUUUUCCUCGCCUAACGUGGUUGAAAAGCAAGGCAGUAGUAGUGCAACACUCGAGUGUGUGUGUCUUCGUGGAUCUGGGGGUCCUUCCUCUGUCUAAACCAUCACCAAGUUAAUUUCUUGUUAGCAUCUGGCAAUCCUCCAUUAAUGGAGGCAAUCUGCAGGCAUCAGGACAGGCUAUUUCACUUCCGAAAGCGACUGCCUCAGUGCAGAUGGAAUCAUCAGCUUAAAUUAAUAUUAUGGAAAAACCAUUUGUUUGCUAGCUCGCACUAAUCAUAGAUGUUAGCUAUUGGUUGCAUAAUUAAUAGCUAAUUGGCCAUUGACAUCACAUAAGCACUGACUAAUUGGCCCCAUUGCUAUGAUUCUGCUCCAAUUUUUAAAAUAAGAGAGGGAUGAUGAAGGAGAAAGCUUCUUUCUCCAUGUAAAAUGAACACUUUGGAGAAACUCAGGGAGACAGGAGUCUAGUUGCAAUGUCAUGUCCAUCUGGAAGCCAUCACAAGCAGGAUAAUCAGUUGUAUUCAAACAGUGACAGCUUCAUGGCACAUCUUUUGUGGAAACUGGCCGGUUUUGUCCUGCACACCAGCUGAUCCCCACAUGGGGAGGUUCCCUUUGCUCUCCCCCUCCCAUUUUACAGUUGGAUGUUUCACUACACGAACUGCUUGCUCCUCGGAAUCACUACAGCUGAGCCUUUGUUCAUAAUUCACUGCUGUUUGAUUACUGUACAGGACAGGCACUGACAUUGUCACAUGGAAAUCUGAUCAAUGGCGUUGGCUUUGGCUUUGGCUUUGGCUUUGGUGGGCCUGGAGUUGCAGUUAAAUCAUAACAUUUUGGAGCAGCAUGAGGCACACUGUUGAAGUCCACUGCCUUGGUUAAUAAUGAAAUUCCCACUAGGAAAAGAAUACCACGGACGGACCCUCCACUCCAUGUCAUUGCCCGAGGGCAAGUCGCAAAGAAGGCUUUUGAGACUGCUCAGUUUAACUUUUUUGCUUUUCUGUAUCAAUCAGUAAAUGAAGGGAGGAGGGACAGGAAAAGCAGGAUUGGGAAUGAAGCUAGUAAAGCCAGUAGUAAAAAGUCAUUUAAAGCGGGAAUGAGGGAGAGAAUCCAAUCAUUCAGACAUUUUGACUGCAAGACUGUUUUUUUUUUUUUUGGUAUUAUCUUGCUAUUCAUUCAUUUUUCUAUGA
This is a long non-coding RNA of Zingiber officinale, 2532 nucleotides long. RefSeq lists it as uncharacterized. The transcript is spliced from 3 exons. NCBI's taxonomy places the organism in Eukaryota, Viridiplantae, Streptophyta, Magnoliopsida, Zingiberales, Zingiberaceae. The record is from RefSeq and is a predicted model, not a curated record.